RNAcentral lists this transfer RNA (78 nucleotides) under Octadecabacter arcticus 238. RNAcentral describes it as "tRNA-Gly". It matches the Rfam family "tRNA". Rfam says of the family: Transfer RNA (tRNA) molecules are approximately 80 nucleotides in length. Their secondary structure includes four short double-helical elements and three loops (D, anti-codon, and T loops). Lineage: Bacteria; Pseudomonadati; Pseudomonadota; Alphaproteobacteria; Rhodobacterales; Roseobacteraceae. The record is from RNAcentral.
AUGCGGGCGUAGCUCAGGGGUAGAGCAUAACCUUGCCAAGGUUAGGGUCGAGAGUUCGAAUCUCUUCGCCCGCUCCAA